This is an RNA transcript of Capra hircus (goat), 1709 nucleotides long. It is a transcript of the gene named dnaJ homolog subfamily A member 2 pseudogene, with no coding region annotated. The transcript has a single exon. The record is from RefSeq and is a predicted model, not a curated record. NCBI's taxonomy places the organism in Eukaryota, Metazoa, Chordata, Mammalia, Artiodactyla, Bovidae.
UUGUUUUUUAAAGAAAGAGGGCCCGGCCGGCCGCCAUGGCGAACGUGGCCGACACGAAACUGUACGACAUCCUGAGCGUCCCGCCUGGCGCCAGCGAGAACGAGCUGAAGAAGGCGUACAGAAAGUUAGCCAAAGAAUACCAUCCUGAUAAGAAUCCAAAUGCUGGUGACAAAUUCAAAGAAAUAAGUUUUGCCUAUGAAGUACUAUCAAAUCCUGAGAAGCGUGAACUUUAUGACAGAUAUGGAGAACAAGGUCUUCGGGAAGGUAGCGGUGGAGGUGGUGGCAUGGAUGACAUUUUCUCUCACAUCUUUGGUGGAGGAUUAUUUAGCUUCAUGGGUAAUCAGACCAGAAGUCGAAAUGGCAGGAGAAGAGGAGAAGACAUGAUGCAUCCACUUAAAGUAUCUUUAGAAGACCUGUAUAAUGGCAAGACAACCAAACUACAACUUAGCAAGAAUGUACUCUGUAGUGCUUGCAGUGGCCAAGGUGGGAAGUCUGGAGCUGUUCAGAAGUGUAGUGCUUGUCGGGGUCGAGGUGUACGCAUCAUGAUCAGACAGCUGGCUCCAGGGAUGGUACAGCAGAUGCAGUCUGUGUGUUCUGACUGUAAUGGAGAAGGAGAGGUAAUUAAUGAAAAGGACCGCUGUAAAAAAUGUGAAGGGAAGAAAGUGAUUAAAGAAGUCAAGAUUCUUGAAGUCCAUGUAGACAAAGGCAUGAAACAUGGACAGAGAAUUACAUUUACUGGGGAAGCAGACCAGGCCCCAGGAGUGGAACCAGGAGACAUUGUUCUUUUGCUACAAGAAAAGGAGCAUGAGGUGUUCCAGAGAGAUGGGAAUGAUUUGCACAUGACAUAUAAGAUAGGACUUGUUGAAGCUCUUUGUGGAUUUCAGUUCACAUUUAAGCACCUUGAUGGACGUCAGAUUGUGGUGAAAUAUCCCCCUGGCAAAGUAAUUGAACAGGAUGUGUUCGUGUAGUUCGAGGUGAAGGAAUGCCACAAUAUCGUAAUCCCUUUGAAAAAGGUGAUCUUUACAUAAAGUUUGAUGUGCAGUUUCCUGAAAACAACUGGAUCAACCCAGAUAAACUUUCUGAGUUAGAAGAUCUUCUGCCAUCUAGACCAGAAGUUCCAAAUAUUAUUGGAGACACUGAGGAGGUAGAGCUUCAAGAAUUCGAUAGCACUCGGGGCUCUGGAGGCGGCCAGAGGCGUGAAGCCUAUAAUGAUAGCUCUGAUGAGGAAAGCAGUAGCCAUCACGGACCAGGAGUGCAAUGUGCCCAUCAGUAAACUCUGCAAACAGAUUGCACAGGGGGAGUUUCUUUCCACAUUGGCCUGGUUUGUUUUCUGCAAUCCAGCUGGAGCGUCUGGUCAACCCAGAUGAACUGAUGGACAUCUGUUGGUCUAUGUGUAACUUUUAAAAUUGGUAUAGUAUCUACAGAGUGUAUAAUUUAAACUAACCACAAAGCUUUACAUCUUCAUUUCGACUGUUCUAUAGCAGAAUAAAGCACUUGAAAGGAAGCAAGACUCCCUUUCACACAUGGGUUAUAAGUUUCAGUCCUGAUAUCUGUGCUUGAUUUUUAUCAGUUUUGUGUAGAUUUUAUGUUUCAUAUUUUAAAUUCAAUUCCCACAUUGUAAAGUUUGUGUACAGUUUGUCCUGAAGCUUUGUGUUUGGCUGCACCUGCGUAAGCUGCUACAAAUAGAAUAAAGAAUUUCAUAGCCUGUA